AUUCCAUCACAAUCAUCUAGGGUUUUAAGCCAAGCUUAUAUAGCCCGUCAUAAAGAGAACUCAUCUGCCUCUCUCUCAAUACCAAUAAAUAUCACCACCGUCCUUCUCUCCUAUCACUAUUCAAUCUAUCGCAAACUCCUUUAUGUCUCUCCAAUUUUAUGAGAGGGUUUCCUUCAAGAACACAGUAAAAUAGAUUGGAUCUUUAAACUUUUGUUCCUUUUCAUGAGGG
Molecule: unclassified non-coding RNA, 229 nt
Filed under: Arabidopsis thaliana (thale cress)
Lineage: Eukaryota; Viridiplantae; Streptophyta; Magnoliopsida; Brassicales; Brassicaceae
Description: partial MIR394a microRNA precursor transcript form 1
Source: RNAcentral